RNAcentral lists this ribosomal RNA (1401 nucleotides) under uncultured bacterium. RNAcentral's name for it is "16S ribosomal RNA". It matches the Rfam family "Bacterial small subunit ribosomal RNA". The record is from RNAcentral.
GAGUUUGUUCCUGGCUCAGGAUGAACGCUAGCGGCAGGCUUAACACAUGCAAGUCGAACGGCAGCGGGGAUUCACUUCGGUGAAUCUGCCGGCGAGUGGCGCACGGGUGAGUAACACGUAUGCAACCUGCCUCUGUCAGGGGUAUAACUCUGCGAAAGUAGGGCUAAUACCGCGUAUAUUCCCGGAGUGCAUCCUCCGGGGAGGAAAGGUUUCAGCCGGACAGAGAUGGGCAUGCGGCGCAUUAGGCAGUUGGCGGGGUAACGGCCCACCAAACCGACGAUGCGUAGGGGUUCUGAGAGGAAGGUCCCCCACACUGGUACUGAGACACGGACCAGACUCCUACGGGAGGCAGCAGUGAGGAAUAUUGGUCAAUGGCCGGAAGGCUGAACCAGCCAAGCCGCGUGAAGGACGAAGGUGCCAAGCGUUGUAAACCUCUUUUGUCAGGGAGCAAAGGGCGUCACGUGUGGCGUUUUGCGAGUACCUGAAGAAAAAGCAUCGGCUAACUCCGUGCCAGCAGCCGCGGUAAUACGGAGGAUGCGAGCGUUAUCCGGAUUUAUUGGGUUUAAAGGGUGCGCAGGCGGAAUGUCAAGUCAGCGGUAAAAUUUCGGGGCUCAACCCCGUCGUGCCGUUGAAACUGGCGUUCUUGAGUGAGCGAGAAGUAUGCGGAAUGCGUGGUGUAGCGGUGAAAUGCAUAGAUAUCACGCAGAACUCCGAUUGCGAAGGCAGCAUACCGGCGCUCAACUGACGCUCAUGCACGAAAGUGUGGGUAUCGAACAGGAUUAGAUACCCUGGUAGUCCACGCAGUAAACGAUGAAUACUAACUGUCCGGGCAGAAUGAUGUCUGGGUGGUACAGCGAAAGCGUUAAGUAUUCCACCUGGGGAGUACGCCGGCAACGGUGAAACUCAAAGGAAUUGACGGGGGCCCGCACAAGCGGAGGAACAUGUGGUUUAAUUCGAUGAUACGCGAGGAACCUUACCCGGGCUCAAACGACGGAUGGAUGUUUCUGAAAGGAGGCAGUCCUACGGGACAUCCGUCGAGGUGCUGCAUGGUUGUCGUCAGCUCGUGCCGUGAGGUGUCGGCUUAAGUGCCAUAACGAGCGCAACCCCCAUCGCCAGUUACCAGCAAGUAAAGUUGGGGACUCUGGCGAGACUGCCGGCGCAAGCUGUGAGGAAGGCGGGGAUGACGUCAAAUCAGCACGGCCCUUACGUCCGGGGCGACACACGUGUUACAAUGGCAGGUACAGAGAGAUGCGAUGUGGCGACGCAGAGCGGAACUUCAAAGCCUGUCUCAGUUCGGAUUGGAGUCUGCAACCCGACUCCAUGAAGCUGGAUUCGCUAGUAAUCGCGCAUCAGCCACGGCGCGGUGAAUACGUUCCCGGGUCUUGCACUCACCGCCCGUCA